AUUGUACUCCCUCCGUCCCAAAAUAAGUGACUCAAAAGUGACUCAAAUUUGCACUACUCUAGUGCAAAAUUGAGUCACUUUUGAGUCAAUUAUUUUAGGACGGAGGGAGUACAUG
Non-coding RNA from Hordeum vulgare subsp. vulgare (domesticated barley), 115 nucleotides. NCBI's taxonomy places the organism in Eukaryota, Viridiplantae, Streptophyta, Magnoliopsida, Poales, Poaceae. The record is from Rfam.